RNAcentral lists this ribosomal RNA (459 nucleotides) under uncultured bacterium. Its description in RNAcentral is "partial 16S ribosomal RNA". It matches the Rfam family "Bacterial small subunit ribosomal RNA", at positions 338 to 795 of the family's 1533-position model. The record is from RNAcentral.
CCUACGGGUGGCAGCAGUGAGGAAUAUUGGUCAAUGGCCGAGAGGCUGAACCAGCCAAGUCGCGUGAGGGAAGACGGCCCUACGGGUUGUAAACCUCUUUUGUCGGGGAGCAAAGCGAGUCACGUGUGACUCAUUGAGAGUACCCGAAGAAAAAGCAUCGGCUAACUCCGUGCCAGCAGCCGCGGUAAUACGGAGGAUGCGAGCGUUAUCCGGAUUUAUUGGGUUUAACGGGUGCGAAGGCGGGUGUGAAAGUCAGCGGUCAAAUUGUGGGGCUCAACCCCGUACUGCCGUUGAAACUGGAUGCCUUGAGUGCGCGAGAGGUAUGCGGAAUGCGUGGUGUAGCGGUGAAAUGCAUAGAUAUCACGCAGAACUCCGAUUGCGAAGGCAGCAUACCGGCGCGCAACUGACGCUGAUGCACGAAAGCGUGGGUAUCGAACAGGAUUAGAUACCCUGGUAGUC